Molecule: ribosomal RNA, 524 nt
Filed under: uncultured bacterium
Lineage: Bacteria
Description: partial 16S ribosomal RNA
Rfam family: Bacterial small subunit ribosomal RNA
Source: RNAcentral
GACGAACGCUGGCGGCGUGCCUAAUACAUGCAAGUCGAGCGCAGGAAACUGACGGAACUCUUCGGAGGGAAGGCAGUGGAAUGAGCGGCGGACGGGUGAGUAACACGUAAGGAACCUGCCUCAAGGAUUGGGAUAACUCCGAGAAAUCGGAGCUAAUACCGGAUAGUUCAACGGACCGCAUGGUCCGUUGAUGAAAGGCGCUCCGGCGUCACCUUGAGAUGGCCUUGCGGUGCAUUAGCUAGUUGGUGGGGUAACGGCUCACCAAGGCGACGAUGCAUAGCCGGCCUGAGAGGGUGAUCGGCCACGCUGGGACUGAGACAAGGCCCAGACUCCUACGGGAGGCAGCAGUAGGGGAUCUUCCACAAUGGACGAAAGUCUGAUGGAGCAACGCCGCGUGAGUGAUGAAGGUUUUCGGAUCGUAAAACUCUGUUGUAAGGGAAGAACACGUACGAGAGGAAAUGCUCGUACCUUGACGGUACCUUACGAGAAAGCCACGGCUAACUACGUGCCAGCCGCCGCGGUAA